RNAcentral lists this ribosomal RNA (842 nucleotides) under uncultured marine archaeon. RNAcentral's name for it is "bacterial SSU rRNA". It matches the Rfam family "Archaeal small subunit ribosomal RNA", at positions 24 to 861 of the family's 1478-position model. The record is from RNAcentral.
UUAUUGCUAUCCGGAUUCGACUAAGCCAUGCAAGUCUUGAUGUUCGUCUUUGGACAUUAGGGCAGAAAGCUCAGUAACAUGUAGUUAAUAUGCCCUCAAGUCAGGGAUAAUCUCGGGAAACUGAGGCUAAUACCUGAUAGAUAAGAAGUACUGGAAUGUUUUCUUUUCUAAAGCUUUUGCGCUUGAGGAUUGGACUGCACCGGAUUAGGUUGUUGUUAGGGUAACGUCCUGGCAAGCCGAUAAUCCGUACGAGCCUUGAGAGAGGAAGCUCGGAGUUGGAUUCUGAGACAAGGAUCCAGACCCUACGGGGUGCAGCAGGCGCGAAACUUUCCCAAUGCACGCAAGUGUGAGGAAGGGAUCUGGAGUGCAUUCUCUUAUAUAGGGGAUGCUUUUGUGGAGUGUAAACAGCUCCAAGAAUAAGUGGUGGGUAAGACGGGUGCCAGCCGCCGCGGUAAUACCCGCGCCACGAGUGAUAACCACGAUUAUUGGGCUUAAAGCGUUCGUAGCCGGCCCAAAAAGUCUUUAGUGAAAUCCCGUAGCUAACUACGGGGCUUGCUAGGGGAACUAUUGGACUUGGAACCGGGAGAGGUCUGGGGUACUCAAGGGGUAGGGGUAAAAUCCUGUAAUCCUUUGGGGACCACCUGUGGCGAAGGCGCCAGACCAGAACGGAUUCGACGGUGAGGGACGAAAGCCAGGGGAGCAAAGGGGAUUAGAUACCCCCGUAGUCCUGGCUGUAAGCGAUGCCCACUAGACAUUGGCAAUCUUACGUGGGUUGUCAGUGCCGUAGCGAAAGCGUUAAGUGGGCCGCCUGGGGAGUACGGUCGCAAGGCUGAAACUUAAGG